GAUGAACGCUCGCGGCAGGCCUAACACAUGCAAGUCGAGGGGGAAGUUACUUUCGGGUGACUGAGACCGGCGUACGGGUGCGUAACGCGUAUACAAUCUGCCUUUCACUGGGGGAUAGCCCGAAGAAAUUUGGAUUAAUACCCCAUAGUAUAUAGGGACGGCAUCGUUUUUAUAUUAAAGCUUAGGUGGUGAAAGAUGAGUAUGCGUUCUAUUAGCUAGUUGGAGAGGUAACGGCUCCCCAAGGCGAUGAUAGAUAGGGGUUCUGAGAGGGAUGUCCCCCACACUGGUACUGAGAUACGGACCAGACUCCUACGGGAGGCAGCAGUGAGGAAUAUUGGACAAUGGUCGGAAGACUGAUCCAGCCAUGCCGCGUGCAGGAUGAAGGUCUUAUGGAUUGUAAACUGCUUUUGGAAGGGAAGAAUAAGGGCUACGCGUAGUUUGAUGACGGUACCUUACGAAUAAGCAUCGGCUAACUCCGUG
Molecule: ribosomal RNA, 480 nt
Filed under: uncultured bacterium
Lineage: Bacteria
Description: partial 16S ribosomal RNA
Rfam family: Bacterial small subunit ribosomal RNA
Source: RNAcentral